UCGCCUGCAUGAAGCUGGAAUUGCUAGUAAUCGCGGAUCAGCAAGCCGCGGUGAAUACGUUCCCGGGGCCUUGUACACACCGCCCGUCACACCAUGAGAGUCGGGAACACCCGAAGUCCGUAGUCUAACCGCAAGGGGGCGCGGCCGAAGGUGGGUCCGGUAAUUGGGGUGAAGUCGUAACAAGGUACC
RNAcentral lists this ribosomal RNA (189 nucleotides) under uncultured bacterium. RNAcentral's name for it is "partial 16S ribosomal RNA". It matches the Rfam family "Bacterial small subunit ribosomal RNA", at positions 1312 to 1500 of the family's 1533-position model. The record is from RNAcentral.